Molecule: transfer RNA, 68 nt
Filed under: Marmota monax (woodchuck)
Lineage: Eukaryota; Metazoa; Chordata; Mammalia; Rodentia; Sciuridae
Description: tRNA.Val
Source: RNAcentral
GGAUUGUGGCUCAGCGGUAGAGUGCUGGCUUCACACAUGCAAGACCUUGGGUUCGAUCCUCAGCACCA